This 476-nucleotide ribosomal RNA is filed under the name uncultured bacterium. RNAcentral's name for it is "bacterial SSU rRNA". It matches the Rfam family "Bacterial small subunit ribosomal RNA", at positions 28 to 507 of the family's 1533-position model. The record is from RNAcentral.
GACGAACGCUGGCGGCGUGCUUAACACAUGCAAGUCGAACGGAGUUACGUAUGAAGUAUUUCGGUACGGACUACAUAACUUAGUGGCGAACGGGUGAGUAACACGUGGGCAACCUGCCCUUAACCGGGGGAUAACAUUGUGAAAACAGUGCUAAUACCGCAUAACAGAGUAUCGGGCAUCCGAUAUUUUAAAAGGAGCAAUCCGGUUUAGGAUGGGCCCGCGUCCAAUUAGCUAGUUGGUGAGGUAACGGCUCACCAAGGCUACGAUUGGUAGCCGAACUGAGAGGUUGAUCGGCCACAUUGGGACUGAGACACGGCCCAGACUCCUACGGGAGGCAGCAGUUGGGAAUCUUCGGCAAUGGGCGCAAGCCUGACCGAGCAACGCCGCGUGAGUGAUGAAGGUUUUCGGAUUGUAAAGCUCUGUCUUCCGGGACGAUAAUGACGGUACCGGAGGAGGAAGCCACGGCUAACUACGUG